Molecule: ribosomal RNA, 129 nt
Filed under: Pogona vitticeps (central bearded dragon)
Lineage: Eukaryota; Metazoa; Chordata; Lepidosauria; Squamata; Agamidae
Source: RNAcentral
ACAUGCCACCAUCCCACCCUGAACACACCCAAUUUCAUCUGAUUUCAGAAAGAAAUCAGGAUUGGGCCUGGUUAGUACAUGGAUGGGAUAUGACAAGGAGAUACCAAGGAUCUCCAGGUAGGGCUGGGA